AUGUUCAGGAGCAGAGACUAUCCCUGGAGAGUAUUUAGACAAUAUUCCUUGAAGGACUGGGAGAAGAGGAGGAGAAGGACUGGGAGAAGCCAGGAGGCCCAAAGACUCUUGUUGCAGGCGAGGAGUGGCAUAGAAGAGGUGUCAUGCUGGGCCACAGAAGAUGUGAUUUCAUGCUGUUCAAGAACCCGCUGCAGCCUUCAGGUGUCUUCGGCACUUCUGAAUCAAAAGUUCAAGCCAAAGUUUUAUCCUAGGACACACUCCAUGGGUAGCAGCCUUGUACACUCUCCCUCCCUCAUCACAGGAGCAACUGCACUGCUCAAAUACGCCAGAGCGUUUGACACAUUCCUUUGUCAGGUUGCCACUUCCUCACUUGCCACUGCACUGCCUGAACACCUUCUGCAGGACUUCAGGCACUGCUGUUGUCCACCACAGCUUUGUCCUGCCCCAGCGCAGUUUUCUUCAACCUGCCACAUGCUGGAAGGGGGCUGA
Long non-coding RNA from Struthio camelus australis, 489 nucleotides. The record is from Ensembl. Lineage: Eukaryota; Metazoa; Chordata; Aves; Struthioniformes; Struthionidae.